Molecule: ribosomal RNA, 506 nt
Filed under: uncultured bacterium
Lineage: Bacteria
Description: partial 16S ribosomal RNA
Rfam family: Bacterial small subunit ribosomal RNA
Source: RNAcentral
AUUGAACGCUGGCGGCAGGCCUAACACAUGCAAGUCGAACGGUAACAGGAAACAGCUUGCUGUUUCGCUGACGAGUGGCGGACGGGUGAGUAAUGUCUGGGAAACUGCCUGAUGGAGGGGGAUAACUACUGGAAACGGUAGCUAAUACCGCAUAACGUCGCAAGACCAAAGAGGGGGACCUUCGGGCCUCUUGCCAUCGGAUUUGCCCAGAUGGGAUUAGCUAGUAGGUGGGGUAACGGCUCACCUAGGCGACGAUACCUAGCUGGUCUGAGAGGAUGACCAGCCACACUGGAACUGAGACACGGUCCAGACUCCUACGGGAGGCAGCAGUGGGGAAUAUUGCACAAUGGGCGCAAGCCUGAUGCAGCCAUGUCGCGUGUAUGAAGAGGGCCUUCGGGUUGUAAAGUACUUUCAGCGGGGAGGAAGGGAGUAAAGUUAAUACCUUUGCUCAUUGACGUUACCCGCAGAAGAAGCACCGGCUAACUCCGUGCCAGCCGCCGCAGUAA